UCAAAUGGUACAUCCCGCUUUGCCCUCCUCUCUCUUUCACUCCCCUCCCACCUGCUUCCAGUGUCCUCCAUCUCUCUGCUGUCUCUUAUUUUCCAAUAUAAAGGACGUUGUAACUUCCCCAGAUUCCCCAGCCUCCUCCUUCAUCGUUUCCUCCUCUCAUCCCUGCACUUUCAGGACAGUGAAGCAGCACAAAGACUGCUCCUGGCCAGACCACACCUCAAGUCCCUGUGUCCAUGGAAGCCAAAACUAAGCCUGGGGCCCCAAAGCCCAAGGCAGCAUCACAAGCAGAGAAAAAGGAACCGGCAGCACCCCGCAAAGCCGAACCAACUCCUACAGCCCCUGAAGCAGAGAAACCCCCUGCCUCCCAGGAUGGAGCAGCAGAGGCUGAAUCAGCAGCAGCAGCAGGCGAUGAGACGGCGGCCUCUGGCACAAACUGUCUGGAACACCUGACCCCCUUUCUGAUCGGUGGUGCCGUCGUUGCUGCGGGGGCCAUCUUGCUAGGAGUGGUCCUGCUGGCUAGGAGAAACUAAAACUAAAUGUUGAAAUGAAGUUGGAGUGUCUAUUGGGCACUAUUAGAGUCCAAUAUCCUGCGUGUUCUUCACGACUGGUUCACAGACUAUUCAACUGCAAAUGGCCAAUGGGGAGACGCUGUGCAUUUUUGCCCUCUUUGUUUUGGUCUGCUAUCACUAGUGAGUGAAUUCACCCUCACAAGUUUUGGUCCAGGCUGUGUAUGGAGCAUAUUAAUACUUAGCAUAAGCAUGAAAUUUCCACUAUACCACGAAAUGUAACUAUCUUAAAAACAAAAGAAGAAAAAAAACCUCACAGUAUAUUGUUGAGCAAAAGAGGCCUAAUGAAGCUUUAUCAGCUUUUACUGCUUUAUCAUUUUUAACUUUGUGCUUGUGUGGACUCAUGGUUGCAACAUUUUUGGUUUAUUUUUGUAAAGAUGAUGAAAACUGCAUUCAUUUGAGUCACAAUGUUCUUAGUCUGUGCAACUUCUGGGCUUUUUUUUAUUAUUAUUUUAGGAGAAAAAAGAUCUUCAGGGGUGGUAAUAGAGCAGCCAGGUUUGUGUACGGUCAUUUACUGCACAUAUUUAACUCAAAAAAAGCCUUCCCUUUUACACAACGUCAUAGUGUAUAUGUACGCUUUACGACAAACAUCUGGUAUGGGAAAAAUGGCCCAUUUCUGACUGGAACUGUUUGCUUUCAAAGUCUUUUUAUAUUAUUUUGACGACUUUUUGGGCAAGUCGGUUCUGUAACAGACACCAGUAUCAGAGGACGUAGUUAGGCUGUUUUUGAGCUAUCAUGUGCACCACUCAUAAACCAAAUUAUCUAGUGCAGUGCCAGUUUAGACUUCUGGAUGCAGCUCAAAAGAGACUGAAUUUCAAAAAAGGACAAUUUGUACAUUAAAAUCAAUUUACUAUUUUUUUUUUUUUUUUUUUUGACAGAACAUAGAAGCAUGCAGAAUUUUAGGGAAAAUACGUAAGUAAUUGUUGGAUUAUUAGUGUACACUUUGGAAAAAAAAUGUUCAAUUGUGUUUUGAAUGAGACACAAAUAAGAGAUGACUAGAUCUACUGUAAAAUGCUAAGAGGAAUCAUUAACAUUUCAUGCCAUACAAAAUAACAAUCAGCCAUUUUGGAUCCGUCUGUUUACAUUGUUGCUAAAGAGCCAUUAGUGUUGCAGUAUCAAGUUGCCAAACUAUGUCUACUGAUUGUCUGUCCCAUGCAGUCUUAUUGCUAGACAUAUCACCUGUACAGCUGCACUACUAUGUCUGAAUUGUUUGCAUUGUAGAAUUUGAGUUUCUGCUUUUACGAAAAACAGGAAGUAGAAAGACAGUUAUAACAAACACACACACACACAAUAUGAGUUAUACACUACACUCUGUUCUGACCAAAAAGGAUCAUAAAAUUCUCACCACAACCUCACCACCUCCCACCCCUACCAUGUCCAAAAAGAUAGUAGCACCAAAGUAAAUUUCACCCUACAUUGUACAAUAUAGAGUACCAAAAAAAGAAGAGGAAAAAAUCUUAUUUUCAUAAUUUUAACAGCGUAUAAAUGCAAUAAUUCAGGUAGGACUAUUCAUUUAGCACACGUGCUGUAGCAAGUUCAAUUACAUAGAUGAUGUAACAAUGUUUGGUGUUGACGAUGGCGAUGUUGGUGACAAUACAUGAUGCCAAUGAUGAUGAUAGUUAUCAUUGUGUCUGUUAGAAUGAUAUGAAGGAUAUUUUUUUUAAUAUAUAUUUUAACAGAUUUUCUAAAUGCAGCCUGUCUUUUGCCCCCAAAAGUAUAAAUGUACAAAAAAGAAGAGUUUAAGAUUUAGCCUCAAUAAAAGAAGUGAACCAGUCUGAA
Oryzias melastigma (Indian medaka) is the source of this 2345-nucleotide long non-coding RNA. RefSeq lists it as uncharacterized. The record is from RefSeq and is a predicted model, not a curated record. The transcript is spliced from 2 exons. Lineage: Eukaryota; Metazoa; Chordata; Actinopteri; Beloniformes; Adrianichthyidae.